This is a long non-coding RNA of Saccostrea cuccullata (small rock oyster), 277 nucleotides long. RefSeq lists it as uncharacterized. NCBI's taxonomy places the organism in Eukaryota, Metazoa, Mollusca, Bivalvia, Ostreida, Ostreidae. The record is from RefSeq and is a predicted model, not a curated record. The transcript has 4 exons.
GUUUUGACAAAUGAGGACAUCACAGAAGCAUUGGAGCAAGCAAAUAAUGAAUCCGAUAUAGAGAUAGACACUGAAGCUGCAGGGACGAGUCUUGUUCCUAGUGUAAAGAGACGUCCACUUCCGCCUCUUCCACAAGCCGAUUCAAGACAAGAUGGACAUGCACAAUACAGCAAUCAAGGAGCUCUGCUUGAAGACAUAGACCAUUCAAAUGGAAAUGCAGUUUCUUUUCGGAGUGUCACAGGACGUCCACCAACACCCAUUCAACAUAAACAAGUAA